GGGCUGCAGUAUAUUGACUGUACAAAGGUAGCAUAAUCAUUAGUCAUUUAAUUGAUGACUUGUAUGAAAGAUUGGAUGAAAUAUAAACUGUCUCUUUAUUAUUUAUAUAGAAUUUAAUUUUUUAAUUAAAAAGUUAAAAUAAAAUAAAAAGACGAGAAGACCCUAUAGAGUUUUAUAUUUAAAUUAAUUAAGAUUAUUUAUAAAAUUUUUAAUUAAAAUUAUUUUAAAUAUUUUGUUGGGGUGACAGAAAAAUAAAGAUAACUUUUUUUAAAAAUUAACAUAUAUAAGUGAUUUAAUGAUCCAAUAUUAUUGAUUAUAAGAAAAAAUUACCUUAGGGAUAACAGCGUAAUUUUUUUUUUUAGUUCAAAUAAAAAAAAGAGUUUGCGACCUCGAUGUUGGAUUAAGAUAAAAUUUAAAUG
RNAcentral lists this ribosomal RNA (419 nucleotides) under Spodoptera cosmioides. RNAcentral's name for it is "partial 16S ribosomal RNA". The record is from RNAcentral. RNAcentral also lists the same sequence under 1 other name. Lineage: Eukaryota; Metazoa; Arthropoda; Insecta; Lepidoptera; Noctuidae.